RNAcentral lists this ribosomal RNA (484 nucleotides) under uncultured bacterium. Its description in RNAcentral is "partial 16S ribosomal RNA". It matches the Rfam family "Bacterial small subunit ribosomal RNA", at positions 30 to 507 of the family's 1533-position model. The record is from RNAcentral.
AUUGAACGCUGGCGGCAGGCCUAACACAUGCAAGUCGAGCGGAUGGAGGGAGCUUGCUCCUGGAUUCAGCGGCGGACGGGUGAGUAAUGCCUAGGAAUCUGCCUGGUAGUGGGGGAUAACGUCCGGAAACGGGCGCUAAUACCGCAUACGUCCUGAGGGAGAAAGUGGGGGAUCUUCGGACCUCACGCUAUCAGAUGAGCCUAGGUCGGAUUAGCUAGUUGGUGGGGUAAAGGCCUACCAAGGCGACGAUCCGUAACUGGUCUGAGAGGAUGAUCAGUCACACUGGAACUGAGACACGGUCCAGACUCCUACGGGAGGCAGCAGUGGGGAAUAUUGGACAAUGGGCGAAAGCCUGAUCCAGCCAUGCCGCGUGUGUGAAGAAGGUCUUCGGAUUGUAAAGCACUUUAAGUUGGGAGGAAGGGCAGUAAGUUAAUACCCUGCUGUUUUGACGUUACCAACAGAAUAAGCACCGGCUAACUUCGUG